AAUAUAUACUUAUAAUUUCUUGACCCAUACAUGGACUUUAUAUAUUAUUUUAUUUUAAUUACAAUUACAAUAUAAAUGUUGAACUUUUAGCUUAAAGGUACAAUUUGUAAGAUAUUUGCAGUAAAAUAUCCAAAAACCACUAGGCUAGUGUUAUAUAUUUUGUCCAGCUGAUUACUAACAAUAUCUCUAAUGUUUUCAACAACUUGUAAAUCAUGAGAAAAUUCCCAUUCUAAACAGUGACACGGAGCAAUGCAGUCGCCUGUCAAUGACGUUAGUUCCCCUUUGUUACCGUCUUUACUGACGUAGAAACCACAUGACAACAGUGUUGUAGACAAAUGCGGUAGUAGUGUCUAGCGUCCAGCAAACUUGCUUCAAGCAGUUCCUUAUUUACUUCUUCUUGCACGUUUUAUGGUGGAUUGUGUUACUUAUUUAUGGAACAUAAUUAGUGUUUACCGUCUGCCGCUGGUUCUGUCAACAAGGACAGCACCCGUAAAUAUAAGCAUACGGGCCAACCAAACGACCCAAGAAGAGUUUGGGACAAGAGGAGAGAAAGAGCGAGGAUUAAUAUCGGUGUUGCAAUUUCUAAUUGGAGAGAGCUUUGCGACAAACCUCAACUAGAAAAAGAUGCCGAUCUCGCUUGUGUUUUACUCGACAGCACAGGUACGGAAAGCGCCAGACGUUCCCCAGACCCACGGCGAACCCCACACAAGACAUCAUGAAGUCCAUCUGUCUGGUCCACGUCUCUCGCUCGGGGAAGCCCUGCCUCUUCUCCGCUUCCGCCGCCGAUAUGGCUCCGGUGGCGGCUGAUAUGGGCCCGCCGUUGAGGGUCCCAUUGACGUCUUGAUGCGCGUUUCCAUUGGGAAUGAGAUGGCCCUUCUUCUCCUCCACCAGGACCGUGUUCAGGGCGCAGCAGUCUGCGUCCAGAGAGGAUUUCUCCAUCUCACGUGUAAACAAAGCAAACGAACCUCCUCACGAGACUCGAGAAGGGCUUAAAUCAGCAGUCAGAAAUAAAUAUUUGAUCUCUUAUUGUU
Carassius gibelio (silver crucian carp) is the source of this 1031-nucleotide long non-coding RNA. RefSeq lists it as uncharacterized. The record is from RefSeq and is a predicted model, not a curated record. The transcript has 2 exons. Lineage: Eukaryota; Metazoa; Chordata; Actinopteri; Cypriniformes; Cyprinidae.